CUCUGCAGUUGUUCGAUGUGUAGUGUCAUCUAGGACAGCAAGUGCCAACCAGUAUGCGAGCGUGUUGUGUUAAUUGUGAUCUGGUCAAAUGCGGAAACAAAGGAUAAUAACAGAAAAUCUGACGGUACUUACUACAGCGUGUGUUUGAUAUUAGUGCUGUGUUAUCUAUCGAUGUGCUUCAAGAAAGCGUUUUGAAACUUGUUUAUGUGUGUCUCAUCGGCGUCAACUGAAUAGUAAGCAGUCAUGUUUCCAUUCUCUCCUGUAUAAAAGUCAUUGUUUAUGAUUUGUUAAAACCAUAGUGGUCAAGCAUUUGUACGGUAGAAUAUUUGAAGUUAAAGAGCUAGCAGCAUUUUGGUUUAUCGUAAAUGUGUCAUUUAGGCCGGGGCUCAUAGUGAUCCGUGCUGUUGUGGUAGCAAGUACUGGCCCGGUACAGGCACAUAGCAUGUAGGUGCAAGUGAUCACGAAACAGGACCGCUGGGUUGCACAACGCAGGCUUGCCGACCAAUACGCAAUGAGAAGAGCCGUGGUUUAAUUCCUUCAUUUUAUUAUGAGAUUUCUACAAACGUUUAGAACUUCCAUUUUAUAGUGGUUGGUUAUCUUUGGAUGGGACUGUGUCAACAAAUACAAGGCCUCCAACAAGUCCGUCUGCUCUGCUAAGUGCUUUUUUGUGUACUGCUUUAUCAGCUGGUAUAACUUUGGAGAUUUAUACGCAGCCCCAGAUAACAGUACCGGCAUUGUGGUAACCGAAAUAUUUUAUAAAUUGGUCUAUGUACUGAUAUAAGUGCCAGUCGUGUCUAGUGAAACGGACGUUAGUGCUUUUAAGUGAAGCGUAAUUAUGUUUUAUGAUUUUUUAGUGCUUAGUACAUGGACGAAACGAUAGUGCUCGACGUAAAUAAUGGAUUCCAUGCGUUUGUGUGUUCAGUGUAAUUGGACGUACACAUUCCAGUGAACAAGGAACAAUACCAUUCAAGCUGUCAUGGGAGGGAUGUACAAAGAAUUUACUGUAGUGGUUCUGUUGGCUUGUCUUCUGGGAUCUUCAGUUUACGGUCAAUACCGAACUCCGAGGAUCACGGAGCACCCGUCCGACAUGAUAGUAGCGAAAAACGAACCAGUGACCUUGAACUGCAGAGCGGAGGGCAAGCCGGAGCCGACAAUCGAAUGGUUCAAAGACGGACAGCCGGUGCGUACUUCACCUUCGGAUUCCAGGUCGCAUCGCGUCUUGCUGCCGGCUGGGUCGCUCUUCUUCUUGCGGGUGAUGCACGGGAAGAAGGAGCAAGAUGGCGGCGUGUAUUGGUGCGUCGCGCGCAAUCAGGCCGGUCUCGCCACCAGCCGCAACGCCACGCUCCAGGUGGCCGGUAAGUGCAGCGACAU
This is a long non-coding RNA of Cryptotermes secundus, 1371 nucleotides long. RefSeq lists it as uncharacterized. The record is from RefSeq and is a predicted model, not a curated record. NCBI's taxonomy places the organism in Eukaryota, Metazoa, Arthropoda, Insecta, Blattodea, Kalotermitidae. The transcript has 3 exons.